This 617-nucleotide ribosomal RNA is filed under the name uncultured fungus. Its description in RNAcentral is "eukaryotic LSU rRNA". It matches the Rfam family "Eukaryotic large subunit ribosomal RNA", at positions 24 to 664 of the family's 3401-position model. Lineage: Eukaryota; Fungi. The record is from RNAcentral.
CCCGCUGAACUUAAGCAUAUCAAUAAGCGGAGGAAAAGAAACCAACAGGGAUUGCCCUAGUAACGGCGAGUGAAGCGGCAACAGCUCAAAUUUGAAAUCUGGCCCUCGGGUCCGAGUUGUAAUUUGUAGAGGAUGCUUUUGGCGCGGUGCCUUCCGAGUUCCCUGGAACGGGACGCCUUAGAGGGUGAGAGCCCCGUACGGUUGGACACCAAGCCUCUGUAAAGCUCCUUCGACGAGUCGAGUAGUUUGGGAAUGCUGCUCUAAAUGGGAGGUAAAUUUCUUCUAGAGCUAAAUAUUGGCCAGAGACCGAUAGCGCACAAGUAGAGUGAUCGAAAGAUGAAAAGCACUUUGAAAAGAGGGUUAAAUAGCACGUGAAAUUGUUGAAAGGGAAGCGUUUGCGACCAGACUUUUUCCUAGCGGAUCAUCCGGUGUUAUCACCGGUGCACUUUGCUAGGUCAAGGCCAGCAUCGGUUUCCGUAGGGGGAUAAAAGCUUGGGGAAUGUAGCUCCCUCGGGAGUGUUAUAGCCCCUCGCAUAAUACCCUUAUGGGGACCGAGGACCGCGCUUUUUGCAAGGAUGCUGGCGUAAUGGUUGUCAACGACCCGUCUUGAAACACGG